GAUAAGGCAUCUUAUUAAUAUUAAAGCUUCGGCACUUGAUGAUGGGUGUGCGGCUGAUUAGAUAGUUGGCGGGGUAACGGCCCACCAAGUCUACGAUCAGUAGCUGAUGUGAGAGCAUGAUCAGCCACACGGGCACUGAGACACGGGCCCGACUCCCUACGGGAGGCAGCAGUAAGGAAUAUUGGACAAUGGACGAAAGUCUGAUCCAGCCAUGCCCGCGUGAAGGAUUAAGGUCCUCUGGAUUGUAAACUUCUUUUAUAUGGGACGAAAAAAGGGCAUUCUUGUUCACUUGACGGUACCAUAUGAAUAAGCACCGGCUAACUCCGUG
Molecule: ribosomal RNA, 328 nt
Filed under: uncultured bacterium
Lineage: Bacteria
Description: bacterial SSU rRNA
Rfam family: Bacterial small subunit ribosomal RNA
Source: RNAcentral